Molecule: long non-coding RNA, 1191 nt
Filed under: Anas platyrhynchos (mallard)
Lineage: Eukaryota; Metazoa; Chordata; Aves; Anseriformes; Anatidae
Description: lncRNA (ENSAPLG00020000946.1)
Source: RNAcentral
GAGAACUAUGCUGGCAGUAAACUGAACAUUAACAUAUUCGAGACCUUUUUUCUUUCUUUCUUUUUUUUUUUUUUUUUCCUAAGAUGGAGCUGAGCAGGCUUCUGAAAAAGGUUUAGGAUGUGCUUGCUUAGGUUACCAGGGAGAUGGAUUUGAGGAGGUGGACCCCUUUCUAUCUGUCUUUCUGCUGAACCCCAAAGCUCUCCUUUGCCACUUCUUAGUGCUAUGCAUAGUAAAUCUUUCUAGUCUGAGAAAUGUGCAACUCUCUGCAGACCCUGAUUACUUAAAAUAGUUCUUCAAAAAAUUGUUGCUUUGCAAUAUAACCUCUCACAUUGCUUUCAUGUUGCUGUUCUCUGUUUACUCGCAGGAAUUAUGACCUCUCUUUCUUCACACCUGGCUCAGGCAGUCCUCCUGGGAAAGAAGCAGCUGUGUGGAUGAGGCAGCUAGCAAACAAACUCAUCUGCCAUGGGAUGCUGACAAGCCUGAGGACUGAGCAGCACUGUUCAAGGAGAUGCAGGGUGCCCCAGUCAUGAUUCCCUUGUCUUCCUUCCUUAUCACUUCUUCUCAUCACGUAUCCUUUCCUAAAAGCUAGUGGAAGGUAUUAGUAAUUCAAAUGUUUUCUGCACAAGUGAAUCUUCAUUGUUUGUGCUCCAUUUUCUGUCAGAGCCAUAGGUACUCUAAAAUGAAAUAAAUUUAUGUCCAGCAGAAGUUCUCUGUAAAUGUAGAUCUAUGUUUCUGCUUCCUCAUCUCCCCGUUGAUGGGCUUUGUGGCCCUACUGUAGUAGAAAUAGUGGUAUGUACAUUUUAUAAAUGUUGAAGGACAGUGGUAUGUACAUUUUAUAAAUGUUGAGGACUCUGAGAGCUAGGUCUGGACUUGACUUUCCCCAGUUGCCUAAUUACGUUUUGAUAUGGUUCGUGCUUCAUGAUCAUUCGCUGAAAAGUUCUUGCCAAAUAUUACUUUUAAUAUAUGAUAGGAAUCUGUGGAAAAAAUUGCUCAUCUAGAAGAACACCAGAUCAUUCUAAAUUGAUCACAGCAGUUCUCAGAAUCCUUGCUUGGCAUGGCAAAGGCCAGCACACAGUGAACAUGACGUGUUCCAGCUCUGGGAGGAGUUCACAUUCCCCUGCAACACUGGCCAGCAACUUCUUUCAAUCCCUAUGUCUUCAAAGUUGGUAUUACGAGGCAGUGUCCUGUUAG